Molecule: ribosomal RNA, 400 nt
Filed under: uncultured bacterium
Lineage: Bacteria
Description: bacterial SSU rRNA
Rfam family: Bacterial small subunit ribosomal RNA
Source: RNAcentral
GAUGAACGCUGGCGGCGUGCCUAAUACAUGCAAGUCGAACGGUGAGGAGCAAUCCUCAUAGUGGCGAACGGGUGAGUAACGCGUUGGUGACCUGCCCCGAAGUGUGGGAUACCAGGCCGAAAGGCUUGCUAAUACCGCAUGUGCAACCGAGAAUUAGGAGAUUGGUUGUAAAGGGAUUUAUCCCGCUUUGGGAGGGGCCUGCGUCCCAUCAGCUAGUUGGUAAGGUAACGGCUUACCAAGGCGAUGACGGGUAGGGGACCUGAGAGGGUGACCCCCCACAAUGGAACUGAAACACGGUCCAUACACCUACGGGUGGCAGCAGUAGGGAAUAUUGGUAAUGGGGGAAACCCUGAUGCAGCGACGCCGCGUGGAGGGUGACGGCCUCGGGUUGUAAACUCCU